GGUGUUGCGUGGAAGGUAAAGAGGGAUGUUGGUCUGCUCCUCUGGCCGCUCUACCUGCAGAGACGAGACGAGACGAGACGGGGUCACUGAGAGAAGAGAUGGCAGAUGAGAGGAGAUAAGAUCAUGCCAACGAACAUAUCAAACACACGAGUGGCCGCCUGGUUCCAGAUCUGCCCUCUUCCUCUGUCCACCACCUCAUCCCCACGCGGCCACGCCAUCUCCUUCCUCGAUCCUCACACACAAAGAGAAAUGUAGCAGGCGGCUCCAUCACCUGUCGCGUGCGGCGGAGGCCAGCCCAGAUCCGCCUCCUCCAGCCCAUCCUCUUCGUCACGCACAACGGGAAAGGUUAGGUUUGAGCUCCGCCACCCCGUCACAUGCCGUUGUUCGUCGGUAGCAGACCGAGCUCCGCCUCCACACCCACCGUCCUUCACUUCCUCUCCGAAAAUGGCCUCAUCCCUGAUACAGAGAGCAUGAUCAGGGGAGUGGUUUCCGAUAUUGAUGCGAGAAAAAAUGCCUUUGGGUCGAACACAUAUCCCCGAAAGAAAUGAAGAAGCUUCUUGGUAAUGGAUAUGGUUCUCUUAUAUUUGGUAGGAGGCAGAAAAAAUUCAGCAUGGAAAAUCACCACAUUCUACGUGGUGUAUUUAUGAUAGCUCUAAAUGAGUACUUCUGGACACCUGAUUGCUUCUCACUAGGAUGCCCUAUGCGGGAUUAUGGUGACUUCUUCAAAUCUGUGCAAGAUUUCUCCUCUUUAGCAUCACUGGAUUUUUUUAAAAUGUUAGAUCUGAAUUUAGAGUGUACUUCUGCACAGAAGAGUUUGUCCUGAUUACUAUUUUUAUUUUAUUUCUGCAGGCACUGAGGAAUGAUCGAUAUCGUUAAUCAUUUUGGAGGUUUGUUGUAGGGUGCUCUACCAGUCUAUGAUGAUCGAAUGACUGCAGCAUAUAGAAAGGGGCUGGUGCAUUGCUUCGUUCAGCGACGACGUCGACUGGGACAAGGGGUAUCAAUGACAGCGGGGAUCCAUGGCAUGACCUAGUCAUUGCGGACGAGGAGGCUGGCUCAUGGGUUCAACAGCGAGGGCGGAAGAGAAGUUGUUGAAGAUGGUGUGACAAGGCAAGAUAUGCAGGGACUGGUGAGGAGCGGGAUGCAUAAAGACAUUGGGGGUGCAAGGGAGAAGUCGGUCAUACCCGAAGGGAGGGGGAUAUCAAAGGUUGUCAUUGCCAUGAAAUGUUCCCCAAGAUGACCCACGACGGCGACGCUGCGGACACAAUCUCGGUUUUGGCUGGUUUUCUCAGUGUGUGCUUUUGUGUGUGUUUGUGUGGUGGUGGCAGUGAACUCAAGAAUAGUGGUGGCACCCCCUAUUGGAUGAUGGUAUUAAGAGUUAAGGCAGAGACUAAAUGUAAAUGAGUGACCGGCAGGGCGAGCGAAAUGAAACGGAUCGCCAACAAUGUGUUGUGCAUGUGUCUGGUCAUGGGACGGAAGGGCCAUGUGGCACAACACUACCUUUGAAGCUUGUGAAGCCUACCAGGUUUGGAUUCAUUACAGUGGGACGACAUGGCUAAGCACACACUAAUGCAGGAAUACCUAGCAGCGGCGGGCGGUGUCAGUACUAAAACCAGCGGAUGUCGGGUAGGGGGUCCUGAGUUGUGGGUCUAGGAGCAAUGGUAACAGGAAAUAUGGGAGACGAUGUUUACCCAGGUUCAGGCCCUCUUGAAGAGGUAAAAUCCUACGCCCUGCUUUGAUUGUAUUGAUGUGAUGGAGUACAGAGUACAAGAUGGUGUACCUCGAGAUCAGAUGAUUCUGUUCUUUAGGCUUGUCCUUCUCCCCGUAAAUACUAAACCACUCGGCUUAUAUAUGCACCAGGGGUGCCUAGGUUACACAUAUGGUCGGUUGCCAACUAGGAAUAAACACACCGACUACUAGAACUUUCCUUGAAGUACAUGCCAAGUCUUCGGAAGUUUCCAUCUUGCUCACGUCAAGGAUCACAUCUUCGGUAGUCCUCCCUCCAAUGGUUGGUGGGUCAUCAACCCGACCCAUGGAUGACGGGUCGUACAGGUUGAUCCCCCCUUAGUCCAGGACACCCUCAGUAGUCCUUAAACUGGUCUUCAAAGCCUAGGACUACACUCCCUCCUCGGAACGACUUCUUUUGUUGAUGACUUUGGCUUGGCAGGUGGGUUCCUUCUUUGUCAACGCAUAUUUCCAUCUAAAGUCCUUUUAUUACCUGAUAAUUAUCGGGCUUUCUUCUAUAGUUGAACCCGUCACCCAUAUUCUUAAAAGCUCAACCUCGACAAGGAAAGAGUAAGGUUUAUUUUUAUUUUUACAAAGGGCUACCUCCGCGUCCGAGGUCCUGAGUUAACUUAGGCUCAAAGAUUUGCCACACAGGCAUGACCAGUGAGAGAAUUUAAACCCGAAAGCUUUAUCGAACCAUCACCACCUAUUGUGGGAUUGAAUAAGUUAUCACGAAUCGUAUUGUAGCCCGAGGCAGCCUCUUAUUGGUGUGUCUUAUCAAUACGGAGAUCGUGUCCCGGUUUUCAAGGGAUAUCAUCAAUAGGCUAGUUAACCGAUGCAUGUGUAAUGUCACGAAGGGUUGGGAAUAGACGAUUUAUCCGACGCAACACGGGGACUCUUGGUCUUUUACUGGCCUACAAAGUGAGGAGAAGUAAAUCAUUUUUUCCUGCGCUUCCAUCCCGUGCUCCAUAGCCCAAAGCUCACAAAAGCUCUGCAUCCACCUUGAAGCCUCCAACCCGCUCAUAUUCUUCCCCCCAUCCUUCAAUGGAAAUGUACGGCAAGGGAAAAGAUUAUGCGGCCUCAGCAUCUAACGUUGGCUUGAAGAGGCAAUGGGUUCCCUCCAAUGUCACCGUGGGCACCAUCGAGGAGCUCAGGGCUGCAGGAUACAUUCCUGCAUUAGCCAUGUGUCGAGCCCCAAUGGAGGGUGAGACCAGCCAUUCUUCCUCCGCCAUCCCCACUCCCAAGAAAGGGGAAAGGGUGGUUUCCAUCCCUCACCUUGUCCAAGAUUUGGGAUUCCCCCUUAAUCCACUCGUAAGGGGUUUGCUGUUUUACUACGGGUUAGAUUUCCACCACCUAGGCCCAAAUUCAAUUCUCCAUAUAGCCACUUUUAUCACUAUAUGUGAGGCUUUCCUCCGCGUCAAGCCGCACUUCAGCCUCUGGCUGAAGAUGUUUAGUGUGAUGCCAAAGAGUAGUGGCCCCCAGCUCGCUGAAUGCGGUGGGGCCAAGAUAAGAAAACUUCCCAAUGUGAUCUGGCCUAAGGGAACCUUUGUGGAGACCAUCAAGUUGUUGCAGCAGGAAUGGUUUUACAUAACCAACCUGCGCACAAAGGGUCAAAAAGAGACCCCCGUCUUUUCGGCGAGCCUCCAAGAAGGCUUGUUUCCUGGACAGAGAAGAGCAUUGAUUGGGGGAACCCGGACAUGGUGAAGGUGCUCCAAGGGAAGCUCAAGCAGGUGGUCAACAAGGGCAUCAAGCUGGUGGACAUGGUUGAUAACCCACAAGUAUAGGGGAUCAUGACAGUCUUCGAGGGUAGUAUUUGACUAAAUUUAUUAAUUCGACACAAAGGGAGCCAAAGAAUAUUUAUAGGCCUUGGAAGUUGAGUUGUCAAUUCAACCACACAUGGAAAUUUGUUUCUCUACAGCAAAGUGUUUAGUAGCGCAGUAGUUUGAUAGUUUUGAUAGUAGCGGUAAU
Long non-coding RNA from Triticum aestivum (bread wheat), 3690 nucleotides. RefSeq lists it as uncharacterized. Lineage: Eukaryota; Viridiplantae; Streptophyta; Magnoliopsida; Poales; Poaceae. The transcript is spliced from 5 exons. The record is from RefSeq and is a predicted model, not a curated record.